AUGUGGUAUGAAAGGAGAGAAGGUUAGCACUUCCCUUGACAAGGAUGGAAGAGGCCCUGGCACCUAACAACAUACACACAAUUAAGGCAACACCGCCUACUUUGUGGCAUCUAACCCGUUUUUGUU
Molecule: small nuclear RNA, 126 nt
Organism: Rhinolophus ferrumequinum (greater horseshoe bat)
Lineage: Eukaryota; Metazoa; Chordata; Mammalia; Chiroptera; Rhinolophidae
Source: Ensembl